UACGUAGGCAGCAAGCGUUGUUCGGAGUUACUGGGCGUAAAGAGUACGUAGGCGGUUUGCUAAGUCUGGUGUGAAAUCUCCUGGCUUAACUGGGAGGGUGCGCUAGAUACUGGCAGGCUUGAGUAUGGGAGAGGAGAGUGGAAUUCCUGGUGUAGCGGUGAAAUGCGUAGAUAUCAGGAGGAACGCCGGUGGUGUAGACGGCUCUCUGGACCAUUACUGACGCUGAGGUACGAAAGCGUGGGUAGCAAACAGGAUUAGAAACCCUAGUAGUCC
Molecule: ribosomal RNA, 273 nt
Filed under: uncultured prokaryote
Description: partial 16S ribosomal RNA
Rfam family: Bacterial small subunit ribosomal RNA
Source: RNAcentral